GAGGAGGAGAGGAGGAGGAGGAGGAGGAGGAAGAGGAGAGGAUCGACAUGAGGAAAGCUGCUCUCCUCUUCCUCUCAGGCGGGCGGAGGGCCGAACCUCAGCCGGCAGCUGAUGACCCACCUGCGUCUCCUGCAGGCCGACCUGCAGUAUCUCAAGGAGGUGGAGGUGAAGGUACACGAGCUGCAACAAACACACACUGACCCAGCUGCUGACGCCGAAGAAAACCACGGUGUGUGUCGCUGAUUUCUACACAUUCUUCUCCCCGUUCGUAUGAGUUUGACUCCAUGAUUUCUUCCGGAUGAUCUUUGGACUUUUGAAACACUGGUGUCGCACAGAAAGGGAGGCUGAAUGUCAGAACUCACACUUCAGGCGCGUAUCAGUGGAAGACUUGAUCAUCGUUUUAGGAAAACUAUUCACUAUAAACUCAAAGCCUCCUGAGGAGAGACUCUGUGGAAACACCCCGAGGACAAUUCAGGCGGUUUUUUCUUUCGCAGUAUAUUAUUAAUCAACUAUAUAAAUUAUCCUUAAACACUGGAGAAAGUCGAGUGUGGAGUCACACAGAUGGAUUUAGAAACACUUUACGGAGUGAAAAGAGGAAAUGGAUCAUAAAGGUAUAUUUGUUUUGUUCAGGACUCACUGCUGUACGUUUGAUUUUAGAGCAACGCUGUAUUAUGGCUAUUUUAGGUAAGAAAAUUAUUAAUUGAAUGGAAUAUUUACAGAGCUGGGGAGUGAGGGGGGAUACAUUCCUAGAUUAAAGUUGUACAUUUCCAAGAAAAAGUGAUUAUAUCUUUUUCCAAUCAUGCAAGAGAGAUUUAAAUAGAAGAAAUUAUUUUUAAAAAAAGCUUUUUUAUCGUAAAAAAUACAAAUAUUCGAUUUUCUUUGUCGUAAAUUGAACUAUUCUUCUCGUAAAUGUAUGACUUUAACCCCUCCCCUUUCAGAAUACUCUCCUGUUCUUCAUGACUUCAUAUUUCUUUAAAACCAUUUUUUUUUAAAUGCCACCGGAUAUGCUUUCAUAUUCCUGAAAUCUCCAUUGAAAAUGAACACAUCUGGCAACACUAAAGCCUUCAACAUUUCCAGUACCGUGUGUCCACCUGGUUUGGAUGUCUGAGUAAAUAUAAUACACGUGAAAUGCUGUUCAGUGCUUACUUUCAAGUCCCAGUUUUCAAAUUUCCUGUAGCACUUGAAUGUAGCAUAAUAUAGCUAACAGACGCAGAUAGCUGCCUGUUCAUUAUCAACAAAUAAACAAAGCAGAUGGACGUACAAAUAGAACCACUUGUGCUUAAGAACUGUACUUUGUUCAAAUGGACUUUCAUUCAUUAGUGGAGCAGAUUUGGUAAACAAUUAUUUACUUGUUUUGUGUGUAAUCAAGGGUGGUCCAGAGAGUCAAUUGAAAAAAAAAGGUUUUGCCAGGAUAAUCUCAAAAUGUUCUAGUUGUAUUAUCUGUAAUAACAAACGCUUGGCAGGUGAACCAACAUUAUCUGUCUGUAUGUUUUCCUGAGUGAGUUUGGAUUUGAAAACGAGUGCUUUUAUGCUUACUUAGAUCAUGGGGUGGUGGUGCAAAAGGAUACAGAAAAACUGCCAAAUAAUAACCCUUUUUUUUACAGUCACUAAGAAAAAUUAUCCUGACAUUUUCCCCACAUAUUUUACAGAUGAAAGAAGAAAUAUUAAGAAACUCAUCCUGAGAUUUUCCUGUUUUCACCCGGUUUUGAUACAGAAACAUAUUCCUUAGAUUACCAAUGAAAUCACGUAGAGCAAUCUUUAAAAAACAACAACAUUCAGUUUGUAUAACUGCAGCAAAACACUACGCACCAUAUCACGGACAAUACAAGCUUUUCAGAGAGACAUGUGAAUUUCUUGGAUUUCACUUUAUUAUUUGUUUUGCAGACAAUUUCUCUAAACGUUAUCAACCACUUUUUAUAAUUCCCCUGUAGUUUUGUGAGGAGGUUUUUCCUAAGGAUCAUUUUUGCAACAGGCUGCUUUAAAAGUGAUCUUGAGCUUUUCAUAGUGUCUUGUUUUUCCAUUUGAGGUACAUAGAUUUCCUCGUUUAACCACUUCACUUGAAUGUUGGGCAGAAAUCACUCAGAUAGCCACAAGACCGCUCACAUGACACCAUGGCUUUGGUUUUGGGAGCGACAUACACAAGAAAAUCAAAUGAAUGAAGAAUAUUCAGACAUAAAAAGUUUGAUUCCUCUGUAAAAGAAUAUAUUGUACAAUUAUGACUGUAUAUCGAAGGUUUUGUGUUGGUUUUUUUCACCAUGCAAUCAUGAAAUGUUUUAACACAAACUACUUAAAGAGGGUGAAGUAUCCAUGUACUAUUAAUCUGUUUUAUAAAUGUUCUAUUCAAAA
Long non-coding RNA from Gymnodraco acuticeps, 2346 nucleotides. RefSeq lists it as uncharacterized. Lineage: Eukaryota; Metazoa; Chordata; Actinopteri; Perciformes; Bathydraconidae. The record is from RefSeq and is a predicted model, not a curated record. The transcript is spliced from 3 exons.